This is a long non-coding RNA of Rhipicephalus sanguineus (brown dog tick), 322 nucleotides long. RefSeq lists it as uncharacterized. The record is from RefSeq and is a predicted model, not a curated record. NCBI's taxonomy places the organism in Eukaryota, Metazoa, Arthropoda, Arachnida, Ixodida, Ixodidae. The transcript has 2 exons.
ACACCGAGGAGGUCCGGUUAAGAUGGCAAAGUUUUCGAAUUCUUGCUUUCUGGUCGUGUUGACCGCUUUGGUAGUCCUGGUCAUGAUACGAGAGGGCUCGUGUAUUCGUGCGAGGACAACCACUACUACCACUACUGCUCGCACUCCAAGUGACGAUAGCAGCCCAGAAAGCCCUCCACCAGGAUUCCCAGGAGGGCGGAGAAAUUCUAUUCCUGGUGGCGGCGGUGACAAGAACGAUGGUUGACGGACCAUCUCGAGUGGAAGCAGGACAGCUCGCGACCAAGAGGGGAAAAAUUACAAUAAAUAUUUCCAGCAACAUUCA